GGGGGCGACGUAGGCUUCGACGGGGGUUGCAAAACCUAAAGUGCAUGCCGAGGUGCAGAGUACCUCGCUAAACCAUCUGCAAACUUAUAGUUGCCAACGACGACAACUACGCACUCGCUGCUUAAUACCCAGUAGGGUGCCGUCUGACUGGAGCCGUGCUUGUGCGUCCAGCUUUUCAGGCGUCAUAUCUCACAAGAUCGCGUUGAAGCUCGUCCGGGGUGGAAACGUUAAAACCUAUC
This 239-nucleotide transfer-messenger RNA is filed under the name Candidatus Thiodiazotropha taylori. RNAcentral describes it as "partial transfer-messenger RNA". It matches the Rfam family "transfer-messenger RNA", at positions 1 to 246 of the family's 374-position model. From Rfam's summary of the family: Bacterial tmRNA, also known as 10Sa RNA or SsrA, is named for its dual tRNA and mRNA-like properties. Its role is to liberate the mRNA from a stalled ribosome. Lineage: Bacteria; Pseudomonadati; Pseudomonadota; Gammaproteobacteria; Chromatiales; Sedimenticolaceae. The record is from RNAcentral.